CACCAAUCCCUCGUUUUGGGUCGGUGGCGUGUGUGUGUUUGCUUUCUUUGGGGAGGUGGGGCCUUUAUUUUAUUUAUUCACACAUAUUUUUUAGAUGAUAUCAGUUGUAACUCUGCAUUCUCACGUGAAGAUCAGUAAUUCAGCACCUCGGCUUCCCUGGGCUUGACAGUGACAGCUGCUUUGUCACCUCAUGUUCUCAGGAGCCCCUCUCACUCCUUAAUCCUUAGUGCUCAGACAAAUCAGAGAGAGGUAGGAGCCACCGUUCGGGCUGCCCUGUCCGCACCGGUGUGCUCAUCAGCGGUACAGCGUGAGGCUGGCAGCAGUCAGGGCUCUGCCUCCUCACCUAACAGUAGAAGAGGAAGCCAGGCUGCUUCACACGAAGUAAAUGACAGCGCUUCCGUGGCUGCGAUCUGCGCUUAUGAUCUGAGCCGUAACUGCUGUUUUUCACUCAAGUUUGCGCUCUGAAAAGAAAUGAAAGCAUUCAGCCUUAUCUCGUACAUCUGCGCGGCAGUAUAAGCUGCUUUCCUUGAUGUCCUGAGUUCUGCUCUCACCAAGGCUCUGGUAUUCAUGUUGGACAGUUUGCAAGGCACGGCUGAAGCAGGUGGGUAGCUGCCAAGCAGAAAUGGCCCUCCAAAAGUGCCACCUCCUUCCACUGCUGACGGUCUGAAGGCGGGAUCUGUGGUGUGGGUUUGCUUGGCUGGGGGUGACUCGGAGGUAAAACUGUCUGCCAGCUAAGAGGAGCUUGCAUCUGGAGGUGCUGACUGCCACUGUACUUCUGGGGCCCUGUUUUGUGGUAGAUUACAACCCUAGAUUUUUGGAAGGGAAGUGACUCAUGCUAACAGGAGGGAAAACAAAGUGUCUGGCUGAGCGCCCCGAGUGUGAGAGAAGGAGCUCCAUAUCUCAACAGCUUCUGUAUCUCUUAUUUAUAAAUACCACUGGAUAAUAGCAUGUCCUAGACUCACAAAAUUCAUUGUUCCUUAGUGGAAUUAAUGGUUUCCCUAUACAAGACUUUUUUUUUUCUCUCUCUCUCUCUCUUUUUUUUUUUUCUUUUUUUUGCUUGAUUUUCUACCUUUUAUACGUUUUCACACGUGGAAGAGGCUGCACAGGCUGUGCCAUUGCACUGGGGAGCAUGGAUGUGUGCUCCAAAGCCCUACUAUCAGCCUUGCAGUGUUGCUUCUGUGUUCCUCCUUUUGCCUUUGGAUGGAUGGGGUUGCAGUCCCCAUUUGCUAAUCCUACCGAGGGCUUGUCGUGCAGAGAUCAGAUCUCUGAGAACAAACACCUGAGUCCCCAAAGUGAUCUCAUUCUGCUGAAUGAAUGUAAAUGCAGGCAGACUUGCCCUCAUGUGGCCCUUGAUGCUAACAAAUCCCUGGUGCUCACCUGGGGGUUGGCACCGUGCACAUCAGGGCCCUGCUCUGGGAUCAAACGUGGCCUUGAGCCAGCACAGGAGUAUGUUCCCAUUAUGAAAUACAAUCCCAAGUAAGCUUCAGAGGUGUGUGGAUAUUCAAUGGGAAUCUGAGGGCGAACCCCAUCAGAAAUGAAGUCAUCAGCAGGAUUUCUUGUGCGUUUAGUUCAGCGCUCACGUGCCAAAUUCUCACUUAUUUCCCUGCUGCUCGCCAGGCUGUCCCUUAGCCCGGUGAGUACCAGCACCAUUUGCCCCACACCAAACCAUCCUGGGCAGCUCUGGUGGCUGUCUCCUGCCUCUGCGACAGGCAGAAGUUCAAGAUGGUGCCUCUGGCCCUGGGGCUGAGGCACAGAGGGGUCCUCUGCCCCCCGGGGAGACAGCGCCAGCUGCCUCACAUCCCUUUUACUGGUAAAAAGGAACUGCUUGACCCUUGCUUGUAAAAGAUUUCCUGGAAUUUGUAGCGUUAUUUCUAAGGACAUCCCUAUCCUGUGGCCGACGUGUCCCCUGGAACCUUUUGUAGCCUGUGGCUUGCUUUAAAGAUAGCAACGUAAUGGCAGGGUGGAGGGAAAAUGCCUCCCUGACUGUCCUGCAGAGAGAACCUGGCCCUGUCCUCGUGUCCUUGUGAUGGUGCUGGGACGGAGGCUUUGAUGGUUGGUGUUAACUCAAAUAAGAAACCUCUCAUUAAACUAGAAACUCAAAGCCAUGUGAUUUUUAGCUUCUGUUUUACAUAGGUCUCCUGGGAACUUUCUUUCUAGCUGCGCAGCCCUCUGUCUGACCACAAGGAGUUACCAUUUCUUUAAAUACCAGCCCUGUCAUGUAAUAGUGGGGUUUGGGCAACGUCUCAGCCCUGUGAUUCAGUGCCGUUAUGCAGCCUUCCAGCAGAUUAGAGAACCUAGUCAGCAAAACAGAUCUCAGGGGACCUGCGAGUUUGAGGUAGAUUUCUUCCUUUGGGACAUCUGGAAGGGGAGCAGGGAGAUGAAGCUGGGCGUUUGGUGCUUGCAGCAGACUACAGAUGACUGCACGCCGUAGCUGGUAAAAGCCAGUGGCCUUUCCUCACCUGGAGCCCCAGUGAUAUUUGUCCUUCUUGCAUCAUGGUUGAGCUCACUGGGAAAAUGGGUAGGCAGAAGGGAGUUGUUAAUUCUCAUAGUACAAUACAGGAACCAUUAUGUUACGUUCAUCCUGCCUUUGAUGGUUUGUUUUUUCAUUUAUUCCCUUGUUUUCCACUCUCUGAAUUCUAGAUUUAGGGGGGAAAGAAAGUCAGGGGGAGAAAACUUCAUGAGACCUGCGCUGAAAAUUGUAAUCCUGACAACUGUAGCUCAGCCACUUGCUGACCGUGGAGGUCGCCAACCUCCAGGAGCCUUCAUUCUCCCCCUCACUUUAUCUUGGUGCUGCCACCUCCGUGUCUGCCCAGAGCUGAGCACGGGUUGUGACCAGGUGGAGAACUCCUUGACGUCCCCUGGUGCCGCAGCCUGAAGGGGCUGUGGGGACAUCCGUGCGUGUUGCCAGCCCGGCUUCCUUGGGUAGCCACCGCUCGGUCGUCACGUCCCCAGGGCAGGGUGGAGUUCCCUUAUCGGGGAGUGCCAACUGCCACCAGAAAAACCCCACAUCAGCCUCCCAGCAGCUGGGGGUGUUUACGGAUUGUAUCCAGUGUUGGUUUGACGCAAGGUACAAAAAUAGAGCGUGCAGCAGGAACAAGCACCUUCCCCUUUGAGGAGACAGCACUAACCGCUGAAAGUCAUGUUUGGGUCUGUUCCCUGUACCCAGCACCAGCUUCUGGUUUGUCACCUUUUCUUUUUUCCACUGCUUUGAAUCACCAAGAGCAUUUCCAUAGCAAGAGGAAAAAGGAAAUUAAAUCCCCUCCUGGAUUGAGCAGGAAUUUUGACCAUUCUUCUUCCUGUACUUACAAGGAGGGGCAGUGACAGCUUUAUCCCUUUGCCGUGUUUUGGGACCAGGAUCUGCUCCUGCCAGUGAGAUUCAGGUGAUGCUAAAACCUCUUUACAAUUAAAUCUAGGCCUGAGUAUAUCAGACGGAUACGCCUGGCCCUGGGCUAGGCACCUCCUUCUGUUGCUUGAAGAUUGCUCUCUCAGCAGCAGAGGGACGACAACCACAACGGAAGGUGUACCAAUGCCCCAAAGUAGUCUGUAACAGCUGGAGAUUAUUCCUAAAUGCAGUUCAAGGCUUUAAUAAAGCAGGAAGCAAUAAACACCAGAGGAAAGAUGUGAUAAGAAAAGCAAUGAUCCCUGUCUCUGACUGCAUAUUUCAACUGGAGUGUCGUAUUUUCACCCCAAGAUCCUCCUAGGGCUGCCCAGCUUCCCAAAUGAUCUCCUUUUUGGCACGUUUUUUUUAAAUUUUGAGAAAUCCUUGUGGCCUUCUGCUUUAUAUCAGCAGUGUUACCCCUGCAACUUAAUUCAUUAGUGCAAAUCACUGUAGAGAAGGGCCAGUAAAGCAGUUUACUUCCCAACAAAAUCAUCACAGCAGCAAGUGGUGCUACCAAAACUGCUGUGAGGAUGUGCUUUUUGGGGCUAUUUUAUCCUGGAUAAAUAAGAGAACCUUUUUCAAAGCUGGAUCUGGAAACUCUGUCUUUUGGGCCCUGGUGUAUAGCAUAUGGCUUGUAUUUGCAUAGAGGUUGGUUUAUCAGCCCAAAAUCUGGACCCCAACCACACUUGGUGUUAGCUGGCCAUGUGAACCCAGGCACUGCUGUGACCACUCCAGCUUCUCUGUUCUUUGUCAGGGUAUUCAUCAAACCAUCUCUGAUGAUAGUUUAUCUUCUUUCUUGUUUUUUUUUGUUGGAUGGGGUUGAUUUGUAUCUGGCUCGGCCACUGUGGUUUUAGGGUACGGCCACGAGCUGUGUUCCAGGCUGCCUGGCCAGCGGUGCGGGCUUUCUGCGCGGGUGCCGAGCUGUUCUGGGGACACCGGGGGCGAUGCUGAUUUUUGGCCUCUAACAGCAAAGCAAAAAAGGAAGCGAACAGCGAGGUGUCGGAACUUGCUGCUGGUGCUUGCUUGAUUGCAUCAGAAAAGCCUAACGCUGAGUACAGAGAAAUGGGCAGCGUUCACUGGGCACUGACAACCCGAUGGCAAAAUAACGAAUAAACGCAGCGCUGAUGGAUGGAGAGAAGCACAUGGGGGAACAAAAACCAUGCUUAGGGUGAUGGUGAAGGCUCCAAAGCUUCAAAGUUGAGAAUAAACUUAAUUCAACAAUCUGAAGAAAAAAUAAAAUGUGUGGCAGGAACCAUGCCUUCCAGCCUCGGGGCGUCUGCAAUGCUGUUGGCCAAGUGCUACGAGGUGAUGGAGAGGGCAGCUGAAGCAAACCCUGCCUGGAGCAGAGCUGCCACGGAUGGCAGGAGAAGGCAGGCAGAGCACCUGAACCCGGCUCACGCGAGCUACCGCGACCAUUGCAGCAGACUUCCUGUAAAAAGAGACCGUUAAUAGUAAUAUGAAUAAACCACACCGUGGAGGAAAUGGCUGCUCUUGCGCCUACGGUAUUUUCUAAGUGGGAAAAUUGAAGCACGUCGAGUUCUUCUCGUCUGAUUAUUUCUGAACUUCUGACAACCUUUCAUGUGAUUUCUCUCCCCGCUCUGAAGCUAAAAGUGGCUCUGUGGGGUCGUGCUGGGCUGUCCUGCUGCCUCCCACAUGGCUGGGGGAAGGAGACCAGUGGUGGGUGCACAUGUGGCUGGCAUAGCAGAGGUCAGGGACUCUCCCUCUGGUGCUGGGGGCUUCAUUCCCAUCCCCCAGAAAACACCACUCAAUUCACAGCCUGAUGGACCUAAGGGAAAACACUCCAUUUAGGGUGGGUCUGAAACGUGUAAGUGUUCAUAAAUGGCAAAAAAAAGCUUAAAAUUGUGCAUUAUCUUCAAAUAUGACCACUGAACUGAUUAUAUACAACAGGAAAUGCAAGCAGAUACUGGAAAAUAAAUAGUUUUUUUUUAUUGUUGUGAACAAAUUACAAUGUGCUGCUCGUUUUCUGCAAAUUAGUGGUGCAUACUCAGCUGAAUGCAUGUACAGACACAGGCUGGCAGUGUGGGCGGGGUGGUUUAUUAUACAGAGGGAUUUUAAAAGUUUUUUAAAAAAGGUCUUUCUGUGUUCCAACAGUCUCUGGAAUUCACAUCAUUUUUCUACAAAAUGUCUUCAUAAAUAAAAUCUAUAAAACAGUAUUUGCAUUAAAUAAAAUCUAAUAUCACAGUAUUUUUACAAUUCAAAAUGUAACAUUUCAAAUGUUCACGUAACAACAGAUUAUACAAGAAGGUGCAAAUAAAGUACCAGUGGAGCA
Molecule: long non-coding RNA, 5669 nt
Organism: Anas platyrhynchos (mallard)
Lineage: Eukaryota; Metazoa; Chordata; Aves; Anseriformes; Anatidae
Source: RefSeq, a predicted model, not a curated record